This 99-nucleotide transfer RNA is filed under the name Pseudomonas fluorescens. RNAcentral's name for it is "tRNA-Val". The record is from RNAcentral. Lineage: Bacteria; Pseudomonadati; Pseudomonadota; Gammaproteobacteria; Pseudomonadales; Pseudomonadaceae.
UCUGUUGUGCGAUGGCGUGUUGACCGUGUGCCCGUCGACGCCGGGCUGGUCGAUCAGCGAGGCGCGGCGGCAGUUUGGUGCGACCACGAUUCAGCGGGU